Ochotona curzoniae (black-lipped pika) is the source of this 117-nucleotide small nuclear RNA. RefSeq annotates it as U5 spliceosomal RNA. The record is from RefSeq and is a predicted model, not a curated record. The transcript has a single exon. NCBI's taxonomy places the organism in Eukaryota, Metazoa, Chordata, Mammalia, Lagomorpha, Ochotonidae.
AUACUCUGGUUUCUCUUCAGAUCGUAUAAAUCUUUCGCCUUUUACUAAAGAUUUCCGUGGAGAGGAACAAAUCUGAGUCUUUAUCCAAUUUUUUGAGGCUUCGCUUCCAGCGAAGCU